Long non-coding RNA from Myiozetetes cayanensis, 291 nucleotides. RefSeq lists it as uncharacterized. NCBI's taxonomy places the organism in Eukaryota, Metazoa, Chordata, Aves, Passeriformes, Tyrannidae. The transcript is spliced from 3 exons. The record is from RefSeq and is a predicted model, not a curated record.
GCCCAAGGCUGUCCAUUCCAGAUCCCAAGCGGGCCAUGGAGAGGAGGAAUGGAAAUCUGCACCCUCAGUUCUGGCAGGGACGUGUCUCACUGGUGGCCAGCCAUUAGUAGGUUUAAGUAAAGCCAGGUCUUUCGGAGCCAGCUCCUGGGAACUGAAGUGAACAUCCCUCACUUUCUCCAGCCCAGGACCACAGGAGAGAGCUGUUAGUGACCUGCACAGGUUCACAACAAAGGGGGAUUCUACUUCUAUCCAGUUUUUUUGGACAGCUGUUGGUAAAGCCAAAUUGUGAAG